RNAcentral lists this ribosomal RNA (406 nucleotides) under uncultured bacterium. RNAcentral's name for it is "partial 16S ribosomal RNA". It matches the Rfam family "Bacterial small subunit ribosomal RNA", at positions 30 to 526 of the family's 1533-position model. The record is from RNAcentral.
AUUGAACGCUGGCGGCCUGCUUUACACCUGCAAGUCGGACGAGUGGCGAACGGGUGAGUAACGCAUCGGAACGUACCGAGUAAUGGGGGAUAACUGUCCGAAAGGACAGCUAAUACCGCAUAUUAUUCGAGCGGCCGAUGUCUGUUUAGCUGGUUGGCGGGGUAAAGGCCCACCAAGGCGACGAUCAGUAUCGGUUCUGCGAGGAUAGUCCGCCACACUGGGACUGAGACACGGCCCAGACUCCUACGGGAGGCAGUAGUGGGGAAUUUUGGAGAAUGGGCGCAAGCCUGAUUCAGCCAUGCCGCGUGUCUGAAGAAGGCCGUCGGGUUGUAAAGGACUUUUGUCAGGGAAGCGGUACCGGAAGAAUAAGCACCGGCUAACUACGUGCCAGCCGCCGCGGUAAUAC